GACAGGGGGGCCCUGCGCUCUGCGCUGGCUUCUCCACUUAUUGUCUGCCACUUAGACUGGCCCACGAGGGUAUCGAUGCUCAAAAGAUCCCACAUCUCCCUCCACUAUGAAAAUUAAAUGAAGUGUGCGUCUCAGGCAGGGAAAAGGCACCGGCAUUGGCCUGCCUGGGGAUCUUGUUUUUCUUUUCUCCUUCCCCCCCCCAGUGCGGUGGCCCGUGGGGUAGAGUGAUUCCCCUGAGGGCAGUGACUGCUGCUAAUUUCCAGGAACAAUGUGGACACUCCAGGGCCAGCCGGCGCACCCGAAAGGACACGCCUGUCAUUUAUCCUGUUCGAGGAGCUCCAGGAUAACCGCUUUGUGGAGAAGGGAAUGCAGGGGACUGGAGUGAGCAAAGAAAGGAGGCUCCAGAAGAGGCCAGGUAAGACGUGCUGGAGGCAGCAGUUCUGUCCCCAAGAGGCACCCUCUGCAGCUGUUGGUG
This 475-nucleotide long non-coding RNA is filed under the name Mustela putorius furo (domestic ferret). RNAcentral describes it as "lncRNA (ENSMPUG00000024599.1)". The record is from RNAcentral. Lineage: Eukaryota; Metazoa; Chordata; Mammalia; Carnivora; Mustelidae.